CUGAACCAUCGCCAUCCUCGCCGUCCGGCCACCGCCCACCGGCAAACGGCGGCCUCGCUCCCGCUCCGGCGGGCUGCGGGGGCAGAGGCAGGCCGCGGGAGACCGAGAGGCCUACCGUCCGGUGACUCCUAGCUCGAGGCCACCCGCGGGCUAUGCUCCUGAUUCCUGAGGUAAAUCAAAGCUAGUGGAGUACCAUGGCUUGGUUGAUUCUCCAGUGUUGUUUAGAGAUCGGGGAAGGUGGCUUCAAAUGCUUGGUUGAGAUUUAUGGCGUUUCUCGAUGCGGUAUUGCAGUGUCGUUUGGUUGCGGAUUAGCGGCCCGCGCGUGGUGGAUUGGAGAUACAGCACUCGAAAUAUAGUCACAACUUGAUACUGCAGGUACAUUUGUAUUCAUGCAUAAUCGUGACAUGAUUCGGUUACUAUCAGAUUUCAGUUUAUUUUAGUUCCUUCCAGUUUUCUACUUAUUGAAGCAGAUUGUAUUAACUCAAUUUCACUACUACAUCACAAAGCUGGACAAUCAAGUAAGUUUUGCCUGGCCUGGGGUGUCAAUAUGUCAUCUUGCUGGGGCUGGAGCCACUGAAUUAGCCUUGCUGAAGUGAGAACCACUUGAGAUCACUAGCCACUGCUUAUCUUCUAACCAGCAUGGCACAUUAUUUAUCGACUUGAUCAUAACUGGUUUAGCCAAAAUAUCUGGGCAUGGUUAUCUGAUCAUAUAGCACACCUACUCCAAAGAACACACCAAAUGCAAUUGCAAACACUACCUUGUCAAUAUACUGCUUUGCGGAGAUAGGGGUUGUUGGAGCUGCUACCGCUGAAUUGCAAUGGUGUUCAAGCAUAGGGCUGCAUAGCUUUGGGUUCCCAGCAAAACUAGAACUUAGGAAUGUGCUGAACUGGCCUCCAAUUGGUACAGGCCCUUCAAGGUCAUUGUAGGAAACAUUGAAUUCAGAAAGGA
RNAcentral lists this long non-coding RNA (949 nucleotides) under Oryza sativa (Asian cultivated rice). RNAcentral's name for it is "long non-coding RNA (OSAT_LNC000254)". Lineage: Eukaryota; Viridiplantae; Streptophyta; Magnoliopsida; Poales; Poaceae. The record is from RNAcentral.